This is a long non-coding RNA of Mus musculus (house mouse), 5662 nucleotides long. RefSeq annotates it as predicted gene, 51704. The transcript has 2 exons. NCBI's taxonomy places the organism in Eukaryota, Metazoa, Chordata, Mammalia, Rodentia, Muridae. The record is from RefSeq and is a predicted model, not a curated record.
CCUGUCUCAAAACAAAACAAAAAACCAAUAUAGCAACAAGUGUGCUCAUAUAGCCCUCAUUUUUACUAAUGGCCUCAAAACAAAAUAGUAGUCAUGAUGACAAUUUAGAUAUGUAAAGACAAGAUGUAAAGUGCUUCACCUAGCAAAAAGUUGAUAGUUCUAGACAAUAAGGAAAAGGGUGGAAGGGAACUCUAUAACCUCUACUUUUAGAUGUUUCAUUUCUUAUUUGAGUGUUUUGCCUUCAUGUGUAUGUGUCUAUGUGUAUACAGUGCCCCAGAGACCAGAAGAGGAAGCCGGUCUCUUGAAGUGGAAUUAUAGGCAGUUAUGAGCUGCUAUUCUGGAGCAGGGAACCUUUGCAAGAUCAGCAAGUGCUCUUUAUUGCUGAGCCACCUCUCCAGUCCAGUGUUCAUAUCUACUCUCAAGCAGUCUCCAGCCAGAUGUUGUAAACCAGAGAUUCUCCUGCGUCAGUCUUCCAAGUUCUGGGAUAAAGGUACGUGCAGCCAUGGCUUUGAUUUUCUGUGGUUGUAAUUCAUGCCUCAACAUGAUCAGAAGUCAGCCUAGACCUGUACUGUACAAUAUAGUAGUGACUUCCACAAGUAUAACCAAUCACUUCCAGGACAUCAAUCUUAUUUAUUUAUUUAUUUAUCUAUCUAUCUAUUGAGACGAAGACUCAUGUAGCUCGGUCUGGCUUUGAACAUGCUGCAAGACUGAGAACGGGAGGCAACUCCCAGUCAGGUGCCACAUAGGUCCAGGUGAGCAGACUGUGCAUAUGGCCUGGUGCCACUUCCUAAGAGGACUCCAGAUACUCAGAGGCCCCAGGUGCCACUAAGAGGAGCAAGUAAGUGGUAGAGAUGGAAGAGAAAGAAAGAAAGGAGGGAGAAAGAAAACACACAAGGAGAGAGGAGGGCAAAAUAACAGUAAGGCUGUCUGAAAAAGUUAUGAGGAAUCAUACUAUCAACUACUUACCUAAAAAAAAAAAUCCUGUAAUACACAUAACUCUACAUACACAUGUACAUAUAUAGCUAAAAUGAAAAUUUCUCUGUUGAGAUCUCAAAAAAAUUGGCCUGCUGCUACAUACUGUAAUGCUAAAUUCUGUACCCAAAGGUCUAGGCCUACACGUGAAUUCUCACAUUUGCCAGCUUUCGUUGUGCAAACCUUGCUCCUUAAUUUAAAACUAUUGGUUAAAUAAAAGUGGCUACAGCCAAUUACUGGAGGGAUGAGAGGUAGGCGGUUUUGAGUUAUCUAGUUGUGGGAGGCUCAAGGAGAAGGAGGAAGAACAAGGAAGAGAGAGGAGGAAGCGCCAUGAGGGGAGAUGGACCACGAGCACAUGGCCAGGAGAAACAGCAGGUAUCUGGGGCACAGCGCUGGGGAUGUAGCCAGGCCAGCAGCUAGAGAAACAGAUUAGGGGUGACCCCCAGUAUCUGUCAAAGCCAGAUAAAAUAACCAUAGUCUGAGUCUCAUUCAUUUGUAAGCUUGUCGGAGAUAAGUUUAAACUAGCUGUACUAUAUUUCUCAUCUGGGCUGACAAUCCUCCCUGCAAGAACCAAAGACCACCUAACAAAAGGCACGAAAUGACUUCUUUUGAGUUGUUGGUUGGGCUGUCCAACAGACUUGCAAAACACACAGGCUGUUGCUAUUGCCCUCGCUUGCCCCUCAGAGGUGGAAGAAAGUCCCUAUUGCUGAAGACACCACACAAGUUUACACAUGCAUAUAACAAGAGGCAAUAAAUUUGAAAGAGCUCAAGGAUGGGCAUAUGGGGGAGUCUGGAGGAAGAAAAAGUCUUGGAAGUCUCUACUCACAUGAUCAAUAAACCAGACAUAACAAAAGUGCUCCUGAGAAGUUUAAACACGAGUACCAACAUGAAAAACUUGGUAUAACCAUCGUGCUCCUGACUGCCUCAGCAUAGUUUACCACUGUCCUUACCUGACUUACAGCACCGAAACUUCUGAAAGUUUCACCGGCCAGCGCAAAAUUCCCUGAGUCUUGAAGUAAAAUGACCAGCAACUAAACACAGGCAGGUGGUCACACCAGUUGUUUUGUCUGAGACAUCAUUAUGUAGCCCAGGCUAGCCUCAUGAUUCUCUCUGCCUUACUUUCCAUUGACCUCUGUUAUCAUACACAACUUCAACUGGUCUUCAAUAUGGCAUGGACUGACAACGUCAAUGUCAUUUUCUCCAUUCUACUUUGUAAUGAGCAGAAGGCUCAUCCCCAUGGGAGAUAGGCUAGUGUAAUGGCUGAUUUCAGUUCAAUUCCCCAGGACUCAAAAUCGCAGGAUGGAACUGCAAGUCAUCCUCUGACCUCCACAUGUCUGUUGUGACAUCUUUGUGUGCACACACAAAUAUGUAAGGAUAGUUAAAAAAAAAUGUCAACUGGAGAUUUAGGACUAAGUCUUUCUAAAGGUUCAAUGAUGGUAUGUAAAGACACUCAUUGAAGAUCUCAUUCAAGUUUCUGCCCGUUACGCCAACCAAAACGGGACAUCACGCUGAACAGAUAUUUGAAUUUUGAGUGCAUCAUUUUUAAGAUUUGAAUGUGCAUUAACAAGUCUACACAGCCAUCUCCAGGGCCAUCGACUGCACUACAGUCAAGCGCAGGCCAGAAAGAGUUACAACUACAGUAGCAGGGAGCUCAGAAAGCAAGGGAGCCUGUCACAGAAACCCAGGAACCUGAUCCACCUCCACAGCCACACCCACCAUACAUGUCUAUACAGAAACAGUAAAUAAAAAAUUUAAACCAUAUAAUACAAAGUUUUCAAGCACUUGGACUCACUCAGCAGAUGCAAAGAUAUCCAAGAGCCAGGCAAUGGCUUAGCCUUCUUGGUACUUUGUAGCAAACCGAAGCCUUUUGUGUUCUACCACUGGAGCGCCUCAUAAUGCCAAUGAGUCCACAACCGCUGAGCUACACAGCCCACUCAAGGCACUAUGCCCUCUUACUAAGAUAACUAUCCUGCUUCCGAGAAACAGCUGCCACUCAUGACCAGAACAUCACAGCAUAACCAUGGACAAAGUUACUAAGUAGAACUGAGUAAUUCUAGACCCUGUGGCCCCGAAGCCUAUGUUACUUAUUAUCAAUCCUUACUGCAGCUUUCAAACCUCUCCUUUGGAGCUACUCUAAGUAUGUGGGAGUAAGUGGGAAGGGGAACACACUAAUUUUUAAAUAUAACGUUUGAUUUCACUCAGAAAUAGCAAAACAUGACUUUCUUAAAGAACUUGAGACUCUUCAAAAGUUACCUAUAGAACCAGGCAUGAUGCUAGACACCAGAAAUUCCAACUCCUGGGAGGUAAAGGCUGGGGAAUUAGGAGUUCAGAGUCAGCCUCAAUUACAUAGCAAGGUGUAUGAUAGCCUGGGCUACCUGAGACCCUACUUCAGAGAACAAACAGAGGCCAUGGAGCCGGGCGUGGUGACGCACGCUUUUAAUCCCAGCACUUGGGAGGCGGAGGCGGAGGCGGAGGCGGAGGCGGAGGCGGAGGCGGAGGCGGAGGCGGAGGCGGAGGCGGAGGCGGAGGCAGGCAGAUUUCUGAGUUUGAGGCCAGCCUGGUCUACAAAGUGAGUUCCAGGACAGCCAGGGCUAUACAGAGAAACACUGUCUCUAAAAAAACAAAAACAAAAAACAAACAAACAAAAAACAGAGGCCAUGGAGAUGAACCAGCGAGUAAAGGCCAAGCCAGAGAGCCUGAUCUCCAGCGCCCAGAUGGUGGAAAGUAAGACCAACCCAUGGGAACUGAUCUCUGAGCUGAGCCAGGGUAAUUCCCACUUUUUUUUCUUUUUCUUUCUUUCUUUUUUCUUUUUCUUUUCUUUUUUUUUUUUUUUUUUUUUUUUUUAAACUCUAUAGGGAUGUACAGGCCUGGAAACUUCAAAUAAAGAGAACAGGGUACUCCCAUUCUCACCAGUAGAAAGCCAUAAUCACACAGUAUCUGUACUUUAUGUAUAAAAUGUUCAGGGCAAGGGUUAGUAGCUCACUGAAUGAGCAGUUCUACUAGCAGUAAAGUCAAGAGGAGGAGAGGUGAAGAAAGAGAAAGGAAAUGGAGAGAGUGAGGAAGGAAAGGCAUGGAAAAUGAAAAAAGGUUAAGAUUAAGGAAAUAAACAUUUAGCAGGCGGUGGCAAAAGCCUUUAAUGCCAGCAGAGGCAGGCGGAUCUCCAGGAGUUUAGGUCAGCCUGGUCUACCUAGCGAGUUCUGGAAAAGCCAAAUAAUAAAGAUUGACCUCCAAAUAGAAAUGUUUAGUCCUAGAUACCUACGAAUACUUUUUCUACCCGAAUGUCAUGUGGCAGAAUUAAUCAGACGAUGCCAAAGACAAAGCCACACUCUGCAAGGAACAAAUCACAGCCUGGGGCGCUCACCCGAGCUCCACAAUCGCUGGGCUGUGCAGUGGAGGCGGCGGCUGCAGAGAGAUGGCCCGUGGCGGGCUUCUGUGCUGGAAGAGGAAUCUGGAAGGCGGCUUCUGCAGAGGGCGAGCGAGCAGAUGGAAGCUUGGAGAGCAUUCGCCAGAGGGAGGCGGGGUGCCCGUGAGACCCGCCCGUCCUAGGCUUCGGGCCUACGGGGACCGCCCCUCGGCGAGCUGCACACACAGCCACGCCUUAAACUGACCCUCCACGGCCGCCGUCACCCCCCAUCCUUGCCUCGGCGACUUCCUAGACGUAAAGAUGAACCGGAGGUGAAGACACUGAGAACUACAGGACGCAGCCAUCACUAGAAAAGAGUCGGGCCUUUGCAGGCGUCACUUCCGCUUCCGUCCUGGCGUGAAGCCCGGGAGAUUUGGGUCCCAGCCACCUUGGAUAGAGAUAAAAUUCUAGGAGCUGGAGAAGGACCCAGGCUGGAUUCCCAGUACCCACAUGGCAGCACACAGUCGCCCACCAAGCCUGAUCUAAUUCUUAUCUAAUCUAAUCCCCAUCUCUUUUCUUUCCUUCUUCCCUCCCAUUCUUCCCUUCCUCCCUCUCUCCCAUUCUUCCCUCCUUUCCUCCCCUCUUCCUCCCUCCCCAUUCUUGUUUUAGUCUUAGCCUAGGCUUGGUGCCGCUGUGCCUUUAGUCCCAGCAUUCAGGAGGCAGAGGCAGGCAGAUUUCUGCGUUCAAGGCUAGUCUGAAAAUUGAGACUAUGUCUCACACACACACACACACACACACACACACACACACACACACACACACACACAGAGAGAGAGAGAGAGAGAGACUGAGAGAGAGAGAGAGAGAGAGAGAGAGAGAGAGAGAGAGAGAGAGAAUAUUCUCGAGCCAAAAUAAGUGACUUUGGCGCAGGAAUACAGAUUAGCACUUCAAGUUCCAUAUGCAAAUAUGCUGUUUCAUGAGGUUAUUGCAGUAACAAAGAAAAUACUAAAGCAUAUGACAUGUUCCCAGACCUUAACACAAUUGACUUCAUGGUAGAAAACUCAGCCACAAAACUCAGCAUGUAGACAGAACCACUAGCCAAAAUGAAAACAAAGACCUAAUCCAUCUAAGUCUGUAGUUCUGGGAAAGUCUUUAAAUGUACAAACCUUGCUGUUUGGCUUCUGUAGUUCUCCUUCUGGCUAUAUGUUCUCGUUAACUGAAACAUGUCGCCAGGAUAUGGUUUUUGUGUUUAAAAGCUCACCCUGAGAAAGGCUCAGUGCUGCACUGGGAUCCGGAACAUCCAGUGUAAUAAAGACCUGGCUAAUAAAGACUUUUUACUGGCUUAAA